CAACUUUGUUUUGUAACGGGCAGCUAGGCCAGAGCUCAGUCAAUCUCGGCCAUGAAGCCUCCCAGCCCCCACACAAUGGAAGUGUGGGAAUGGAAACCUCUGGGUUUUGGAGCCCUCAAAAAUAAUAAUGCCUUGUGUCAAUGAGAACAGCUCAAUUUUUAAAAGUAACUUUUAAACUUUUCACUUGAAGCGAAUAGGACUUACAGGUCCCAUUAUGGCUGGAUCACGCCCACAUCUAUCUAUAUUUACUUUGGAGUGACCCCUCUGAUCUCAGUGGGAAGUAGCUCUGAGUAAACCUUCAGAGAGUUGGGCUGUGAAGUUUUCAAACCUGAAAGAAUGGACGUGAGCAGAUCAUGACCACCAACGUAUGGCUCAAUCAGGAUAUUAAUCUCUGUGUUGGGAAGCAAAGAACAAAACAUUUUCCUGGAUGUCUAACUCCUGAAAAGAAGGCUUCUCUUGAGAGCUCCCACGAAGCGCUUGGUUGAUUCAUUCCAUUCCAGCCAAUUUUUUUUUUCAAUCUAUACUUUGUGACAGAAAUUAAUUGUCUUAAAAUGUUCGAAAUGGCAAAAGCCCAGAAAAUGUUAGUCUAGCAGGUGUGUGUGUGUGUGUGUGUGUGUGUGUGUGUGUGUGUGUUUUAAACGCAGACUGUCAGGAGGCAGUUGAAUCACAGGCAGCUUUGCUUUUAAGGACAUGCCUCUGUUUAGACUGACAUUGGUUUAAUAAUCACAGCUCCAUUGCAGCAAUUAUCUCCACCCUAGCGUGGGAAGGUACAAGUGUUCUAGAGAGAGCAGUUGCCCUUGAGGAGGAGGAAUGAAGAGAAAAGGGUGAAAAUACCCUCCUGAACCAUCAUCAUAUGUUGCUGGCUUACAGGGGGGGCCCUUUCACUGCUCUCCUGAAGACGAACAACCAGCUGCAUCCACCUUUGGGACUUGGCAAGCACUUUGGUAGGUGAGGGCGAAUACAGACGCAGCCACCUCCCGAGAAAGUUUCCUGUAGCCAUUUGCUGCUUCAAAAUACUUCUCUGCACAGCGCUUCUCUUUCCUGUGCUAAAUAUGAACAUCUCCAAAACAUAUUGCAGAUUGCAUAUGUUUUAAUUUGCUGUAAAACUUUCGCCAAUUAAAUCUUUUACAAGCUCCACUUUGUUACCAAAAUAUUCUAAAAAAGGACAGGCUGCUUCCUGCAUAUGUUUCUGGGUUUUAUUUGUUUUUCGUUUGUUUGGAGGUCCCCCCACUUUAAAACGGUUUUGCUUAACUAGGACUUUGGAAUAGGUAAUAUUGUGAAAAGGGCAUCUCUCAGUAAGCCAGGUAGCCCAUAUAAUAAUACUUUAAAAAAAACCUGACAACAAUCAGUAUAUGUCUUUUCCUAGCACUAUAAUUAUCAUUUGUUUGUUACUUAAACACAGAGCGCCAAAUCUUUUAAACAAAUUAAUACUGUACUAUUGUCAAGUAGGAUAGAUGUUCAGCCUAUGCUUUCACCCUGGUAACUACAUAGAAUAUCCUUAAGUGGUUUAAAAUAAAAUAUUGAAUUUCUCUGAG
This 1535-nucleotide long non-coding RNA is filed under the name Pogona vitticeps (central bearded dragon). Its description in RNAcentral is "lncRNA (ENSPVIG00000005338.1)". The record is from RNAcentral. Lineage: Eukaryota; Metazoa; Chordata; Lepidosauria; Squamata; Agamidae.